ACGAAAUCUAGUCUUUCUUUUCACAUUAAAAACCCUUUCGCCUCUCAAACUUGAAAUUGAAAUUCAAAAUGGCAAUGGUAGCGGAAAUAUCGGGCUCAAAAUCUCGUAUCCGUUUCAAUUUCGCGUCUUCGUGAUUCCCUGGGUGAGGAAAACAGUGCAAUUUUGUGUGCAAAAGGAAGGACUAUAGUUCAUCGGCUCCUGUUAAAUAUGUUCCCAAGAAAUUUUCAAAGACAAACAAAACGGAAAAUUGUUUGCCCAUAAAGAGUUUGGAGAGUGCGAAUACCGAAAGGUGUGGAUGCCAGUGAAUUGAGAAUUGACGUUAAAAUGGUGGAGAUGUAAAGAAGUAUUGCUUUGAUGAGAAGGUUCGAAAUCAAAGUCGAAUGACUGAUACAACCUGUUAUUUGAUGAUUCUAAGCGAGCUUUUGAAGAAGAAAAUGGUGAUUGGGAGUUUAUAGAGCAUGGACUGAUGGAAGAAACUGAGGAGUUUAUUGAAGAACCCCAGGAGGUAGUGGAGGAGAUGAA
Long non-coding RNA from Pistacia vera, 522 nucleotides. RefSeq lists it as uncharacterized. Lineage: Eukaryota; Viridiplantae; Streptophyta; Magnoliopsida; Sapindales; Anacardiaceae. The transcript has 3 exons. The record is from RefSeq and is a predicted model, not a curated record.